Molecule: ribosomal RNA, 380 nt
Filed under: uncultured eukaryote
Lineage: Eukaryota
Description: partial 18S ribosomal RNA
Rfam family: Eukaryotic small subunit ribosomal RNA
Source: RNAcentral
CAAUAGCGUAUAUUAAAGUUGUUGCGGUUAAAAAGCUCGUAGUUGGAUUUCUGCUGAGAACGACCGGUCCGCCCUCUGGGUGUGUAUCUGGCUCUUUCUUGGCAUCUUCUUGGUGAACGUUGCUGCACUUGACUGUGUGGAGCGCUACCCAGGACUUUUACUUUGAGGAAAUUAGAGUGUUUCAAGCAGGCAUACGCCUUGAAUACAUUAGCAUGGAAUAAUAAGAUAGGACCUCGGUUCUAUUUUGUUGGUUUCUAGAGCUGAGGUAAUGAUUAAUAGGGAUAGUUGGGGGCAUUCGUAUUUAACUGUCAGAGGUGAAAUUCUUGGAUCUGUUAAAGACGGACUACUGCGAAAGCAUUUGCCAAGGAUGUUUUCAUUGA